UCCAACCUACAAGUCUGCUGCGUUCAUCGCUAACUAGUCAAUGGAGAGAAGCAACCGGCUCUCCUCUUAUCCACUCCUCCGCUUCCCCUUCCUCCUGUUCCUCCUCCUCUCAUCGUCGGCGGCGCUCACGGCGGCGACAUCAGAAAACGCUAAUAAAGGCGCCUCCUUUUCCGCCGCCGAGGCGGAGGCGGCGGUUUCCCGAUUCCAGGAGUACCUCCGGAUCAACACCUCCCAGCCGGACCCCGACUACGCCACGGCCGUCCGCUUCCUCCGCGCCCAGGCCGACGCUCUUUCCCUCGAGUCCGACGUCUUCGAGUUCGCCCCCGGCAAGCCCCUCCUCCUCCUCCGGUGGCCCGGCCGCAUCCCCUCCCUCCACGCCCUCCUCCUUAACUCCCAUACCGACGUCGUCCCCGCCGAGCCCCUCAAGUGGGUCUAUCCCCCCUUCUCCGCGGCUCUCGACCCCUCCACCGGCAACAUCUACGCCCGUGGCUCCCAGGACAUGAAGUGCGUCGGCCUCCAGUACCUCGAGGCCCUCCGUCGGCUCCGUGCCGCCGACUUUGCCCCGGACCGCACCAUCUACCUCUCCUUCGUCCCCGACGAGGAGAUCGGGGGGAACGACGGCGCCGGGAGAUUCGCCGCGUCGGAGAAGUUUCAAAAAAUGAAGGUCGGGGUGGUGCUUGACGAGGGACUGGCGUCGCCGGGGGAGGAGUACAGGGUGUUCUACGGGGAGAGGAGCCCCUGGUGGCUAGUGAUCAGAGCGCGGGGAGCGCCGGGGCACGGGGCGAAGCUUUAUGAUGGGAGUGCGAUGGAGAAUUUGAUGAAGAGUGUGGAGGCCGUGAGGCGGUUCAGGGCGGCACAGUUCGAUUUGGUGAAGGCUGGGGUGAAGGCCGAGGGGGAGGUGGUGUCGGUGAAUCUGGUCUACCUCAAGGCUGGGACGCCAUCACCCACUGGUUUUGUCAUGAAUCUGCAGCCAUCUGAAGCAGAGGUAGGCCUUGACAUCCGAGUCCCUCCUAAUGCUGAUACUGAAGCAUUGGAGAGACGUAUUGCUGAAGAAUGGGCACCUUCAUCACGUAAUAUGACAUUCGAGUUUAAGCACAAGGUUUCUGUGCAUGAUCUGUUUGGAAAGCCAGCCAUUACGGCUGCUGACAAUUCCAACCCAUGGUGGAUGCUGUUGGAAGAAGCUAUGAAGAAAGCCAAUGGUAAACUAAGUAAGCCAGAAAUAUUCCCAGCCUCAACUGAUUCUCGAUUUUUCAGAGAACGAGGGAUACCUGCAUUUGGUUUUUCACCAAUGGCAAAUACUCCUAUAUUGCUUCAUGGCCAUAAUGAGUUCUUGAACAAAGAUGAGUAUCUGAAAGGAAUAGAGAUAUAUGAGUCUAUCAUCAAAGCAUUUGCUUCUUACAAGGGUGACACCAAGGACGAAGAAUCAAGGGCAGAGCUGUAAGCAUGGAGGCUUUUCCUGUUUCUCAUUGUGCAGGUGAUUUGAGUGCUAGAGAGUAGCAUGCUGAAGGGAUUACAUCGAGGCAGAAAUUGCCCGUCAAGAGGCCAGGCUGAAGAUGGAGAGGGAAAAUCUAGAGAAGGAAAAGAGUGUCCUCAUGGGCACUGCAUCAAAUCAGGACAACCAAGAUGGUGCUCUUGAGAUCACUGUCAGUGGUGAGAAGUACCGGUGCCUUCGAUUCUCCAAGGCGAAAAAAUGAUAUUAUGAGACAAAUAAAGAGAAUAGAGCAUCCUGGUAUUUGUCCAACUAUCUUGGUGAUUAACAAGGACCAGGUAUAGAUAUUCCAAGGAUUGAAUUAGUUUUUGUCCAAGCAUCUUGGUGAUUAACAUUUGAUAUUGAAGUAGCAUUUAUAUUUGAUUUUUUGUAGAGAAAAUUGGCCUAAUAUGUUAAUGCAUAUUCUUUUUUUCUAAAGUUUGCAUUCUAUGAGAA
Phoenix dactylifera (date palm) is the source of this 1924-nucleotide non-coding RNA. The record is from RefSeq and is a predicted model, not a curated record. Lineage: Eukaryota; Viridiplantae; Streptophyta; Magnoliopsida; Arecales; Arecaceae.